UGGCGGCGUGCCUAAUACAUGCAAGUCGAACGAGUUCUCGUUGAUGAUCGGUGCUUGCACCGAGAUUCAACAUGGAACGAGUGGCGGACGGGUGAGUAACACGUGGGUAACCUGCCCUUAAGUGGGGGAUAACAUUUGGAAACAGAUGCUAAUACCGCAUAGAUCCAAGAACCGCAUGGUUCUUGGCUGAAAGAUGGCGUAAGCUAUCGCUUUUGGAUGGACCCGCGGCGUAUUAGCUAGUUGGUGAGGUAAUGGCUCACCAAGGCGAUGAUACGUAGCCGAACUGAGAGGUUGAUCGGCCACAUUGGGACUGAGACACGGCCCAAACUCCUACGGGAGGCAGCAGUAGGGAAUCUUCCACAAUGGACGCAAGUCUGAUGGAGCAACGCCGCGUGAGUGAAGAAGGCUUUCGGGUCGUAAAACUCUGUUGUUGGAGAAGAAUGGUCGGCAGAGUAACUGUUGUCGGCGUGACGGUAUCCAACCAGAAAGCCACGGCUAACUACGUGCCAGCAGCCGCGGUAAUACGUAGGUGGCAAGCGUUAUCCGGAUUUAUUGGGCGUAAAGCGAGCGCAGGCGGUUUUUUAAGUCUGAUGUGAAAGCCCUCGGCUUAACCGAGGAAGCGCAUCGGAAACUGGGAAACUUGAGUGCAGAAGAGGACAGUGGAACUCCAUGUGUAGCGGUGAAAUGCGUAGAUAUAUGGAAGAACACCAGUGGCGAAGGCGGCUGUCUGGUCUGUAACUGACGCUGAGGCUCGAAAGCAUGGGUAGCGAACAGGAUUAGAUACCCUGGUAGUCCAUGCCGUAAACGAUGAAUGCUAGGUGUUGGAGGGUUUCCGCCCUUCAGUGCCGCAGCUAACGCAUUAAGCAUUCCGCCUGGGGAGUACGACCGCAAGGUUGAAACUCAAAGGAAUUGACGGGGGCCCGCACAAGCGGUGGAGCAUGUGGUUUAAUUCGAAGCAACGCGAAGAACCUUACCAGGUCUUGACAUCUUUUGAUCACCUGAGAGAUCAGGUUUCCCCUUCGGGGGCAAAAUGACAGGUGGUGCAUGGUUGUCGUCAGCUCGUGUCGUGAGAUGUUGGGUUAAGUCCCGCAACGAGCGCAACCCUUAUGACUAGUUGCCAGCAUUUAGUUGGGCACUCUAGUAAGACUGCCGGUGACAAACCGGAGGAAGGUGGGGAUGACGUCAAAUCAUCAUGCCCCUUAUGACCUGGGCUACACACGUGCUACAAUGGAUGGUACAACGAGUUGCGAGACCGCGAGGUCAAGCUAAUCUCUUAAAGCCAUUCUCAGUUCGGACUGUAGGCUGCAACUCGCCUACACGAAGUCGGAAUCGCUAGUAAUCGCGGAUCAGCACGCCGCGGUGAAUACGUUCCCGGGCCUUGUACACACCGCCCGUCACACCAUGAGAGUUUGUAACACCCGAAGCCGGUGGCGUAACCCUUUUAGGGAGCGAGCCGUCUAAGGUGGGACAAAUGAUU
Molecule: ribosomal RNA, 1477 nt
Filed under: uncultured organism
Description: 16S ribosomal RNA
Rfam family: Bacterial small subunit ribosomal RNA
Source: RNAcentral